UUUCUUCGGAGAUUCCACUUUGAGAUGGACCCGCGGCGCAUUAGCUAGUUGGUGAGGUAACGGCUCACCAAGGCAACGAUGCGUAGCCGACCUGAGAGGGUGAUCGGCCACAUUGGAACUGAGACACGGUCCAGACUCCUACGGGAGGCAGCAGUGGGGAAUAUUGAACGAUGGGGGAAACCCUGACGCAGCAACGCCGCGUGAAUGAAGAGAGGCCUUCGGGUUUAAAGUUCUGUCUUCUGGGACGAUAAUGAC
This 255-nucleotide ribosomal RNA is filed under the name uncultured bacterium. Its description in RNAcentral is "partial 16S ribosomal RNA". It matches the Rfam family "Bacterial small subunit ribosomal RNA", at positions 199 to 455 of the family's 1533-position model. The record is from RNAcentral.